This 5891-nucleotide long non-coding RNA is filed under the name Zea mays. RNAcentral's name for it is "long non-coding RNA (ZMAY_LNC001627)". The record is from RNAcentral. Lineage: Eukaryota; Viridiplantae; Streptophyta; Magnoliopsida; Poales; Poaceae.
UAGUAGAUCCCCUAUGCCGGAGCAUGAACAGAGAAAGCAGCCGUCUAGUCUAGUCCUUGUCCCGGUAGUAUGAAGUUUGAAUGGUCCAUCGUGGAGCUCGACCUUGUUGAGUAGUAGCUUUCAAGCCUCCCUGAAAAGUGGAAAGCGAUAGCAAAUACCUCAUAGGAUCUCUUUAAACGGGGUGCUUUUCCUUAGCGGCCUUUUUCUUUCACGUUUUGCCUUAGUCACAAUAGUUGUCAUGAACCCAGUAGGAAUCCCAUAUCUAUAUGAGCAGAGCAUAGAGUCUUUUAACUUUUUUCUAAUUGGCGCAGAGCGUUGGCCUAAGCUUACUCCAUAAAAUCACUAUUUGCUAUCGCUUGCUUUGGCUAUAGGGGGGCAGGCUGCCAUCAUGGUUAGUUUGACUUAACUAGUUCAUUGCGAGUACAUUCUUUAUAUACAUAUGAUACAACCAUAUCUAAAUGGAACUUUUGUCACUAUGCUCUGCUCUAUAGGGAGAAUCCACUUAUUACUUACUUGUUUUUAGACUACUUCCCUGUAGUCUUGACUCGCAUAUAGACAGUGAACUUGUCCUAUCAACGACAAGUGGAAUGCAAUCAUGGCUUCUUUUUCAUGCAGUGAUUGAAUGAGGGAAAUGCAGUGAAAUGAAUGCCCGGAUGCCUGGACGAGGGAGAGCUUUUAGCUCGAAUGAGGAAGAGCGGCUUGGUUGGAUAGGGCUAGGGUUAGUGACACGGGAUAGGACAGAUGCGUAACGUUGAGGCUAACAAGUCUAGAUAGAAAGAAGUAUGGAACAGACCAUUGAAGGAGAACGCUAGGACCGAUAUAUCCGUAUUUCAUAGAGCUAGAUAGGCGAGCGAAACAAGUAGUAGUUUUGAGUUCAAAAUAGAAGAUAAGCGUUUAGUCAAGAUACGUUUAUUUAAAGGAUAGGCAUGGGAAUAGCUGAUAGACAUUUGUGCAAGGGCAACAAGUAGUAGUUGGAUAUGAACCACCCACGGAUAGCCAGGAAUAGAACUAGCAAGGUAGCUUGACAUGGUUUGUUAAGAAGUACCCUGCGUAGCUUUAGUAGGUGUUUGAGUAGGCCGCUAAGGAGCGAAGCGUUGUUCUAAACACCAAUGGGAUGAGAUGGUUCCAAUACAAGCUCUUCGAUCUCUGUCUGCAGGAAGGUGACUCCCAUACCUUCUUUUUCCACCAGUAGAAAUCCGAGGGAUCCUGCGGAGAAAUCUUAGUAUCACAGGAGAGUGGAUCGUAUAUCACGAUUCGUAAGCCUCUGAAAGGCUUCAGCUGUCAGUCGAUCGUCUGGGACACAGAUUCGCUCUACGAACUGGAAUGUACCAGCAGAGCCUUAUUGCCCCCUGAGCCCAACGAACCUCCUCAAUAGCAGAUAAGGGCUCGGUAGAUCAAUAUCUGCAUGAAUAGCCGCUGCAUAAACAACUCUAGCUCUAACUCAAGAAAAGAACUAGAAAGAACAAAAGAAGAGUUUCUCCUCUGCAAAGUAACAGCAAGUGAAAUUAGCUCCCUGUCGGGAUAGAGAUUCUCUAUUAUCUUGAACUCACUCACCAAUACUUUAAGAUCGUCAAUAGCACACUACCUCUCCAAGGCAGUGCACUAUUUCCUCAACAAAAGAGAAGAAGUAAACGAUUGCCAGGUUGUAAGCACUUUGAGAUAUUGGCCUUCGGCUUAAGAUAGUUACUUGACUUAAAAGCAUUCUCGAGAUCCUUAUCAUUUAAGGAACAAGAAGAGAUUGUCUACUCUCGGCAAUGUAAGAAGGUUCGUGAAAUAGCACCCUGUCGGGGAUCAAGAUUCUCUAUUAUCCCAUCCACAUUCCCACUCUCCUUAUUCAUACAUCAGUUCAGCUACAACAAAGAAGAUAUCCUUCCCAUUUGUCUUGUCAGUCUUUCAUUUCUUUGGUUUAGUUAGGAAUAGGCAUGAACUAGGCUAGCAGUUGUCACCAAAGCAAGGGACUAGCUUUUUCUCCAAGGGGUCAUAUCAACUUGACUUGUAUCCGGUAGAAGCUUUCUCUUUGGAUUGAGAUUCCAGAAGUUCCGGGAAAAGAGAUUCAAGCACAGAAUCCACCAGGAAAAAGAUAUUCCUGCAGAGCAGCUGUGGGCCAAGAGUCAAAGAAUGAAUUUGGCCUAGACCUAGCGUCAAAGUAAAGAAUUGAAGCGGAAGCCGACUUGGACUUAAACUUAGUUGAGAGUGGUCUCUUUUUUAAUCUCGUAUGUAUCUCCUGCAGGGAUCGGGCUAGUUGCAUUACUCGAAAAGGAAGCAUAAUCGGAAGAACCUGUCGUGUAGUGCCUGCGUCUAUUGUCCUCUGGCAGGUGAAGUGGUUGCAUUCGCCGGGCUUAGGCCAAUCUCCAGAUCCGAGUAGAGAGUGGAAUUAUUUCUUUUCUUCCCAAGACUUCAUCAUUCAAUAUGCGGGCCGGGUUGGAUAACCAAAUCAUUUCUAUCAAGUGGAUUCCCUUAUCUAUAUAGGCAUCCAGUAGCCAAGUCUGUUUUCCGAUACGCCAGACCAGCUUCCUGAGUAGAAUACGAAAGAAAGGCCAUUCCCUGGAUCCUCUAGCAUCACUAGCUGUAAGCACUUUCAAGUACGGCACUAUUUCUUGCUUGCAUUGAUCAAGUUCAAGACCAAUCGGAUGUAAGGAGGCUAAAAGCGGCCUCAUUCGGUGAUACGUGAAUGUCAAUCACUUGAAAGCACCUAUCUCAUCCCAGCACGGGAAGAUAUCUCUAAGCAAUUGAACUAGAUCUCAGUACCGUCUCUCCACCUAGGCGGCAAUAUCCUCAAAGCGAAAUUCUUUCUAUUGGUAUAUACCUACACAUACACACACACAUUCUAUGCUAUGCCUAUGCUAUGGACAAAACAAAUCGUGAAGCAUAUUUUGAACUUGAACUAAAGCUCGAGGCAGAACCAUCGUGGUAUCCAUAACCACCUCCAGCUAUCCAGAUCCAUUCCAUAUUAGAGGGACUUUGAAGGCUUAUUCCGUUAGUGAGCUUGUGAAGGCAAGGCGUUUAGGCGUCGGUUUCUUACGAGAUAAGAUAUGUAUGCCGGUCCAACUAAAGCAAGGGUGGUUUUGAGCUUGGGUUGAAAGCUAGGUAGGGCUUUUAUGCUUGAAGUGCGGUGCCAAGAGUGGAAUAUCAAGUUCUGCUAGCAAAGAAAGAAUCGAAUGUUGGACUGGACUAUAGUAGGUCUAUUAGACUAUUCUUACUAGAGGGUCCCCUAAAACUGGCAUAACCGUCAAGGUGCCUGGCAAGUCAGAAGUCGCAGGAUUGCAUUAUAAAGGGCUAAAGCGAGUUCACGUCAUAGUAGAGCAAAUUCUUGCCAUAAGGUAUAUAUACAUACAUCAGCAUGGCCACCGUAGUAGCCAGCCCGAAUGAAGCUGUCUGCGUUAACGCUUGGUAUAUAGAUGCGCGCCUGCUCAUCAUAAUAGUGCGCUCUGAAGAUAGUCAUUGCCAAAGACGAGAUCGUUAGCACACGCGUGAUAUUUAUCCUUAUCCCGUAGCAUAGCAUAGUUGGCUAUCUCUAUUUCUUGAGCCUUCUGCAGGACAGCGCCUAAUAUCAGGAUAUCCUGGUCUAGGUAGGCGGCUAAAUACUCUUUUCUUCGCUCGGCUAUCAAUUAGAGGCGAGGGUCACACCUUUGUGGUCAAUCGUUCCCUUUCCUCAACCUAUUCAAAAAGACCUAUCUCUGUGCUGCAUGCUUAGAGCUAAAGGUAUUGGACCCAAGGAGUAAGUGACCAAGUAGGUUUUUGGUAGUAAAAGAUUGGAGGAAGAGGCCGCCUAAAUCAGAUCACAGGAUUGACUAGAUCUUUCCGUUUCCGUUUGAGGAAUGGCCAAAGCUCCAUCCAUAGAGAGGACAAGCAUCAUCCAAUGGGUGUCUUCUCACUAGUGCCAGAGCGUGGAAGGAUCGCCCCUUGGCCGGGACAGGGACACAUCCUGAUGUGAGAGACCGACCCUAGCCUAGGUAGUAUUAGCAUACAUAGAACCAGAGAAUCGAGUUGUCUUGUCACAGGAAACCGGAGAGCAGGAAACAGAACGGACCUUGUAAGAAACCUCCCAUCACCACACCAAGGAGAACGAAGCUAAGAAAAAGGAACCCUUCUUGGAUUGUCUUGUCUAUGAAACCCAUCCUUACCAGCUAGGAAUCUGUCUUUUCACCAGAAACCUUGCUUGUCUUAGUCAUGAGUGUGUGUAUCCCAUCCCAUGUAUUUGCUUCUCCUGAUGUAGAAUCGCGAUCUGGAUAGGCUCUAUUCUCACCUGCACCAGAAAGAAUAGUUGUCUGUCUAGUCUAGAGCCGCAAACUGCUUGCCCUCCCUUCUCCCGCUUUCUAUAAUAGUCAAAGUAAGUGGUAGUUCUCGGUUCCUUCCUGGGCUUGUAGAAGUAGAAGUGAGUAUACCAUCUCAAUAUCGCCAUCUCAAUCUCAAUAGAAGGUUGACUGCUUGAUAUGUCAGCUGGUCUAAGUCUUCUCAUCUCAGUUAGGAAAGGAAGUAGUCUCAUCUCAGUUAGCGAUGUGAAGCGGACCGCUCUCUCGCGAGCUCCCCUACGGGAUUUAGAGGCGCGUGGAAUAGUGCCGUUUAAAAGUAUGAUUCCAUUCCAAGAAAGAGAUCCGUCACAACACUGGCAUUUCCCUCCUCCUCUUCUUUAGCACUGGCCAGGUUCCAUACGGAUGUACGUACCCUUCCGUUCAGAAAAGACAGUGGCAUUCCCAUUGGCGCAUAGAGAAAUGCUGUUCUUCUUCCAGUAAUGAAUGGAAAGCAUUUCAGGUGUGCUAUGCCAAGAUGAUCCGAACAGGCUGAGGAUGGGGAUACAAUUGCGCCAUGUUUUCCAUUCAUUAAGAAAGGACGGUCGUAUCCCGGUGACCUUGCCAGCUGCAGUGGGGUCUCCUGGUAUGAAAGACGCACUUCGUUGCAUUGCUCGCAGACUGGAAUGCAAACCCGCAAGUUAGCUCCGUAAAUAAUUGGCGAGAGGAAAACAAACUUUCUAUAAAAUGGAUCCUAAGGAAAGUAAACGUCAUUUUCGGGAACUAGUUGCACUCUGUCCCCUAUCCUACCGCUAGUAGAUCCCCUAUGCCGGAGCAUGAACAGAGAAAGCAGCCGUCUAGUCUAGUCCUUGUCCCGGUAGUAUGAAGUUUGAAUGGUCCAUCGUGGAGCUCGACCUUGUUGAGUAGUAGCUUUCAAGCCUCCCCGGAAAGUGGAAAGCGAUAGCAAAGACCUCAUAGGAUCUCUUUAAACGGGGUGCUUUUCCUUAGCGGCCUUUUUCUUUCACGUUUUGCCUUAGUCACAAUAGUUGUCAUGAACCCCAGUAGGAAUCCCAUAUCUAUAUGAGCAGAGCAUAGAGUCUUUUCACUUUUUUCUAAUUGGCGCGGAGCGAAGCUUACUCCAUAAAAUCACUAUUUGCUAUCGCUUGCUUUGGCUAUAGGGGGGCAGGCUGCCAUCAUGGUUGGUUGGACUUAGCCAGUUCAUUGCGAGUACAUUCUUUAUAUACAUAUGAUACAACCAUAUCUAAAUGGAACUUUUGUCACUAUGCUCUGCUCUAUAGGGAGAAUCCACUUAUUACUUACUUGUUUUUAGACUACUUCCCUGUAGUCUUUACUCGCAUAUAGUCAGUGAACUUGUCCUAUCAACGACAAGUGGAAUGCAAUCAUGGCUUCUUUUUCAUGCAGUGAUUGAAUGAGGGAAAUGCAGUGAAAUGAAUGCCCGGAUGCCUGGACGAGGGAGAGCUUUUAGCUCGAAUGAGGAAGAGCGGCUUGGUUGGAUAGGGCUAGGGUUAGUGACACGGGAUAGGAUGGAUGCGUAACGUUGAGGCUAACAAAUCUAGAUAGAAAGAAGUAUGGAACAGACCAUUGAAGGAGAACGCUAGGACCGGUAUAUCCGUAUUUCAUAGAGCUAGAUAGGCGAGCGAA